UACAGAGGGUGCAAGCGUUGCUCGGAAUCAUUGGGCGUAAAGGGUAGGUAGGUGGUCUCGUUUGUCUGGGGUGAAAGCCCAGGGCUUAACCCUGGAAGUGCCCCAGAAACGGCGAGACUAGAGUAUUGGAGAGGGUCGUGGAAUUCCCGGUGUAGCGGUGAAAUGCGUAGAGAUCGGGAGGAACACCAGAGGCGAAGGCGGCGACCUGGACAAUAACUGACACUCAACUA
This 230-nucleotide ribosomal RNA is filed under the name uncultured bacterium. RNAcentral's name for it is "partial 16S ribosomal RNA". It matches the Rfam family "Bacterial small subunit ribosomal RNA", at positions 524 to 753 of the family's 1533-position model. The record is from RNAcentral.